This 253-nucleotide ribosomal RNA is filed under the name uncultured bacterium. Its description in RNAcentral is "partial 16S ribosomal RNA". It matches the Rfam family "Bacterial small subunit ribosomal RNA", at positions 524 to 776 of the family's 1533-position model. The record is from RNAcentral.
UACAGAGGGUGCGAGCGUUAAUCGGAAUUACUGGGCGUAAAGCGUGCGUAGACGGCUAUCUAAGUCGGGUGUGAAAGCCCCGGGCUCAACCUGGGAAUUGCAUUCGAGACUGAAUAGCUAGGGUGCGGUAGAGGGAAGCGGAAUUUCCGGUGUAGCGGUGAAAUGCGUAGAUAUGCGGAGGAACACCGAUGGCGAAGGCAAUCCCCUGGACCUGUACUGACGCUCAUGCACGAAAGCGUGGGGAGCAAACAGG